UAGACAAGAUAAUAACCAAUAAAUACAAUAACUGGAAUGAGCAAAAUAAUAACCGAUUAAAUAAACAAAUAGUUAGAAACCAUAAUAAGUCAAAAUAAUGAACACAAUGAUUGUCAUGAGUCCAGAUAGUUAAAAACCAGAUUAAUUAAAUAAAUAAUAGCAAGCACAGUGAGUCAAUACAACAAAAACGAUAAUUAGAAUAUGUCAAGAUAGAUAAUAACUAGC
Molecule: long non-coding RNA, 225 nt
Filed under: Elaeis guineensis (African oil palm)
Lineage: Eukaryota; Viridiplantae; Streptophyta; Magnoliopsida; Arecales; Arecaceae
Description: long non-coding RNA (EGUI_LNC023755)
Source: RNAcentral